Molecule: ribosomal RNA, 253 nt
Filed under: uncultured bacterium
Lineage: Bacteria
Description: partial 16S ribosomal RNA
Rfam family: Bacterial small subunit ribosomal RNA
Source: RNAcentral
UACGUAGGGCGCAAGCGUUGUCCGGAAUUAUUGGGCGUAAAGAGCUCGUAGGCGGUUUGUCGCGUCUGCUGUGAAAACCUAAGGCUCAACCUUGGGCUUGCAGUGGGUACGGGCAGACUAGAGUGCGGUAGGGGUGACUGGAAUUCCUGGUGUAGCGGUAGAAUGCGCAGAUAUCAGGAGGAACACCGAUGGCGAAGGCAGGUCACUGGGCCGCAACUGACGCUGAGGAGCGAAAGCAUGGGGAGCGAACAGG